This 23-nucleotide non-coding RNA is filed under the name Arabidopsis thaliana (thale cress). Lineage: Eukaryota; Viridiplantae; Streptophyta; Magnoliopsida; Brassicales; Brassicaceae. The record is from RNAcentral.
ACCUCUAAACAUCCGGUUCGGUU